ACCUAGCUACUGAGUCCAAAUAGGACGAAACGUGCGUCCUGGAU
This 44-nucleotide non-coding RNA is filed under the name Schistosoma mattheei. Lineage: Eukaryota; Metazoa; Platyhelminthes; Trematoda; Strigeidida; Schistosomatidae. The record is from RNAcentral.